Molecule: ribosomal RNA, 1591 nt
Filed under: Gyrodinium rubrum
Lineage: Eukaryota; Dinophyceae; Gymnodiniales; Gymnodiniaceae
Description: eukaryotic LSU rRNA
Rfam family: Eukaryotic large subunit ribosomal RNA (bases 666-1591)
Source: RNAcentral
UGUCGUAACAAGGUUUCCGUAGGUGAACCUGCGGAAGGAUCAUUCACACACUGUGUUUUCACCACCGAUAACCUCUGUGAACUUUCAAUUGUGAACUCUUGCCACCGUGCAGCUUUUGGGUAGUGCCUGGUGAUUGUUCGUGGCCUGGGCAGGGGUGUGCGUCACCUGCGUGGUGGUAAGCUCGCCCCGUCGCCUGCAGGCAAUCCCCUAACUUCUCUUUCUUUGUGUUGUGCCAGUGGUGCCCGUUGGCGGAAACCGCCGCUCGGUGAUUGCUUUCUUACAACUUUCAGCAACGGAUGUCUCGGCUCGAACAACGAUGAAGGGCGCAGCGAAGUGUGAUAAGCAUUGCGACUUGCAGAAUUCCGUGAACCAACAGGGAUUUGAACGUAUACUGUGCUUUCGGGAUAUCCCUGAAAGCAUGCCUGCUUCAGCGUCAGCUUCGUUCUCAUGCUGCUGACGGGCUUUUCGGCCGCUGGUCGUGGGGCUCUGUUUGUCGGUUGUCCGUGUUUGCGCACCAAGGUGCUCUCUGCCGCCCUUGAUGCAUGAAGUGCACGUUGCCGCCGUGGCUUGCGACUAACAGAACACCACUUGGUGCCUUGUCUGUUGCUUGGCUGUUGGUUGCUUCGAUGCCCGUUCUGGGCUUCCUCGGCUGCGCGCCAUUGUAUUGACAUGAAGUUAGGUCAGCAAACCCGCUGAAUUUAAGCAUAUAAGUAAGCGGUGGAUAAGAAACUAAACAGGAUUCCCUCAGUAAUGGCGAAUGAACAGGGAUGAGCUCAGCAUUGAAAUUUUGGCUUCUAGCCUUGAAUUGUAAUCUCGAGAUGUGCAGCCAAUGUGCAAGCCUCUUGGAAAAGAGCACCGGCGAGGGUGAGAGUCCCGUUCGUCACUUGCAGCCCGCCGUGUACGGCGUACCUUCUAAGAGUCACGUUCCUCGGGCUUGGAGCGCCAAAGGUGGUAAAUUUCAUCUAAAGCUAAAUAUAGGUUCGAGACCGAUAGCAAACAAGUACCAUGAGGGAAAGAUGAAAAGGACUUUGGAAAGAGAGUUAAAAGUGCCUGAAAUUGCUGAAAGGGAAGCGAAUGGAACCAGUGUUUCUUGGUGAGAUUGUUGCGCGCUAAGGUGACAGUCGGCUGCUUGAGCGCAAGCCUGGCAGCUGGCCUCGAUUUGGAUGUGCGUGGUGCUUCUUGCCUUGCCUGUCAACGUCAAUUUGGAGUUGAGGAAAACUCUUGGCGAAUGGUAGUUUGCUUACGGGUGAGCGAAUGCGCCUUGUAGAACUCAUCUCUGGAUUGAAGACCUCGUGUCUGGUUGCAAUGUCCCCCAUUGUGCGCGUUGCCCUGGGAAAUUCAGCAGGUGUGCGUGGUCUCGCUGGUGGGUGCGUUCCUUGACGUGAAGAUGGUGACAAAAUGGUUUCACUCGACCCGUCUUGAAACACGGACCAAGGAGUCUAGCAUAUGUGCAAGUUCCCGGGUGGCCAAACCUGCUGGCGUAAUGAAAGUGACUGCUGGGAUUUUUGCACCAGCAACCGACCAAUCGAUCUUGAGAGGUUUGAGUAUGAGCACAUCUGUUAGGACCCGAAAGAUGGUGAACUAUGCGUGA